GAUUGUACAAGUUAAUCAUUCCGUAUAUGCUUGGGAAUUGGCUCAAGUGUUUCUACCGGGCAACCGUAAAUUGCCUGACUACGGGAGGGAAAGUGUACCUA
Molecule: non-coding RNA, 101 nt
Filed under: Desulforamulus hydrothermalis
Lineage: Bacteria; Bacillati; Bacillota; Clostridia; Eubacteriales; Peptococcaceae
Also listed under: 1 other name
Description: Desulfotomaculum hydrothermale Guanine sequence
Rfam family: Purine riboswitch aptamer
About the family: Riboswitches are metabolite binding domains within certain messenger RNAs that serve as precision sensors for their corresponding targets.
Source: RNAcentral